Molecule: ribosomal RNA, 465 nt
Filed under: uncultured bacterium
Lineage: Bacteria
Description: partial 16S ribosomal RNA
Rfam family: Bacterial small subunit ribosomal RNA
Source: RNAcentral
GACGAACGCUGGCGGCGUGCUUAACACAUGCAAGUCGUACGGUAAGGCCCUUUCGGUGGUACACGAUUGGCGAACGGGUGAGUAACACGUGAGUAACCUGCCCACCCCUUUCUUAUAACUCUCGUCAACUGGUUCUAACACUUGCUAUGUGCUCCUUCCUCCUGGUUGGUGUUGGAAAGCUCCGGGGGUUGUGGAUGGACUCGCGGCCUAUCAACUUGUUGGUGGGGGAGUGGCCUACCAAGGCGGCGACGGGUAGCCGGCCUGAGAGGGUGACCGGCCACAUUGGGACUGGGAUACGGCCCAGAAUCCUACGGGAGGCAGCAGUGGGGAAUAAUGCACAAUGGGCGGAAGCCUGAUGCAGCAACGCCGCGUGCGGGAUGACGGCCUUCGGGUUGUAAACCGGUUUCAGCAGGGACGAAGCUUUUUGUGACGGUACCUGCAGAAGAAGCACCGGCUAACUACGUG